UCUUCCUACGGUGCGCAGCAGUGGGGAAUAUUGCACAAUGGGGGAAACCCUGAUGCAGCGACGCCGCGUGAGCGAAGAAGUAUUUCGGUAUGUAAAGCUCUAUCAGCAGGGACGAAAAUGACGGUACCUGAGUAAGAAGCCCCGGCUAACUACGUGCCAGCAGCCGCGGUAAUACGUAGGGGGCAAGCGUUAUCCGGAUUUACUGGGUGUAAAGGGAGCGUAGACGGUUAUGCAAGUCUGGAGUGAAAGGCGGGG
Molecule: ribosomal RNA, 255 nt
Filed under: uncultured bacterium
Lineage: Bacteria
Description: partial 16S ribosomal RNA
Rfam family: Bacterial small subunit ribosomal RNA
Source: RNAcentral